Molecule: ribosomal RNA, 465 nt
Filed under: uncultured bacterium
Lineage: Bacteria
Description: partial 16S ribosomal RNA
Rfam family: Bacterial small subunit ribosomal RNA
Source: RNAcentral
CCUACGGGAGGCAGCAGUAGGGAAUCUUCCACAAUGGGCGAAAGCCUGAUGGAGCAACGCCGCGUGGGUGAAGAAGGUCUUCGGAUCGUAAAACCCUUUUGUUAAAGAAGAAAGUGCGUGAGAGUAACUGUUCACGUUUCGACGGGAUCUAACCAGAAAGCCACGGCUAACGACGUGCCAGCAGCCGCGGUAAUACGUAGGUGGCAAGCUGUGUCCGCAUUGAUUGGGCGUAAAGGGAACGCGUGCGGUCUUUUAAGUCUGAUGUGAAAGCCUUCGGCUUAAACGGAGUAGUGCAGUGGAAACUGGGAGACUUGAGUGCAGAAGAGGAGAGUGGAACUCCAUGUGUAGCGGUGAAAUGCGUAGAUAUAUGGCAGAACACCAGUGGCGAAAGCGGCUCUCCGGUCUCUCACUGACGCUGAGGUUCGAAAGCGUGGGUAGCAAACAGGAUUAGAUACCCCGGUAGUC